Molecule: ribosomal RNA, 423 nt
Filed under: uncultured bacterium
Lineage: Bacteria
Description: bacterial SSU rRNA
Rfam family: Bacterial small subunit ribosomal RNA
Source: RNAcentral
UGGAGCGACGAACCAGGGCUUGCCCUGGGGCAGAGCCGCGAACGGGUGAGUAACACGUGGGUUAUCUGCCUUGAUGACCGGGACAACCCGAGGAAACUCGGGCUAAUACCGGAUGUGCCCGCAAGGGGAAAGGAAGCUUCGGCCUCCGCAUCGAGAUGAGCCCGCGGCCCAUUAGCUUGUUGGUGAGGUAACGGCUCACCAAGGCUUCGAUGGGUAGCUGGUCUGAGAGGACGAUCAGCCACACUGGGACUGAGACACGGCCCAGACUCCUACGGGAGGCAGCAGUGGGGAAUCUUGCGCAAUGCGCGAAAGCGUGACGCAGCAACGCCGCGUGGGGGAAGAAGGCUUUCGGGUUGUAAACCCCUUUCAGUUGGGACGAAGCCUCAUCGGUGAAUAGCCGCGUGGGGUGACGGUACCUUCACA